Molecule: long non-coding RNA, 869 nt
Organism: Oxyura jamaicensis (ruddy duck)
Lineage: Eukaryota; Metazoa; Chordata; Aves; Anseriformes; Anatidae
Exons: 2
Source: RefSeq, a predicted model, not a curated record
ACUCAUAGUUUCCAUAGAUAAGACUAUUAUAUUUCUGCUGCCAAUUUACUCAUUUAAUUCUUACUAUUUGUGUCUGUUAGAAAUACAGCUGGACAGUAAGAUCACACACAAUUUCCUUCCAGCAGCAGUUCUUUAGCAUUAGCAUUUUUCCCCACACCAUUAUUUGGAGUUCUUCCAAUACCAGCAGCAGACUGUGCAUGUCCAUUUUUCUGUGAACUUCAAAAUUUGUUACUGCUGUACUUGUGCUCUGCUAAUAAGAUAGAAAACAUUUUCUGGAGUGUUUUUUCAUCCAAUCAGAAAACAUUUGCCUUCAGUGUGCUGCUAAAGAAAGAUACUGAAAUGGCUGGCUGUAAACGCCUAUGUACAGGAAAACCAAACAAAACCAAUGUGGAAAUGGGCUCAAAGACAAUUCCUCUGCCCCCAUACUGUGGGCCUAGCAUGGUACUAAUUAUGAUGAUGGAAAAAGAACUUGAGUUUACAAUGUCUUAGCCUUGGAAGAAGGCUUUUUCUUUUGUCUAAUGUUAAGGCCAUAUAGAUUUUUCUGCUUGCUCUUAUGGCAAGUGUGCAUUAUAAGGAAUAUUAGAUAGGCCAGAGGCUGGUAUUCCCAUUUAGAGAUAUCGAGGAUUAUCAUUUCUUCUCUUUUAUCUCUUUUUUUUUUUUUUUUUUGCUAUAUCUUUAGCUACAUGCUAUAUCCCCACAGAACACUACUUAAUUUAGUCCAGAUACACUAUAUACUGCAGUUUUGUUUGUAUAAUGCUGUAAGAAUGCAUGUUCCAUGUGCACCUUACCUGAUUUCUGUGUACUCUGUGCAUCUUAGGAAGAUGCCUUAUGUUAGUAGUAUACGAAUAAAGAUGAUGUUCUUAACAAAA